GUAAACUGCUUUUAUACAGGAAGAAACGUUAGUACGUGUACUAGCCUGACGGUACUGUAAGAAUAAGGAUCGGCUAACUCCGUGCCAGCAGCCGCGGUAAUACGGAGGAUCCAAGCGUUAUCCGGAAUCAUUGGGUUUAAAGGGUCCGCAGGCUGUCUGAUAAGUCAGAGGUGAAAUCCUAUCGCUCAACGAUAGAACUGCCUUUGAUACUGUCAGACUUGAGUUAUUGUGAAGUAGUUAGAAUGUGUAGUGUAGCGGUGAAAUGCAUAGAUAUUACACAGAAUACCGAUUGCGAAGGCAGAUUACUAACAAUAUACUGACGCUCAUGGACGAAAGCGUGGGUGGCGAACAGGAUUAGAUACCCUGGUAGUCCACGCCGUAAACGAUGGUCACUAGCUGUUUGAUGCACAUUGGUAUGUUGAGUGGCUAAGCGAAAGUGAUAAGUGACCCACCUGGGGAGUACGCUCGCAAGAGUGAAACUCAAAGGAAUUGACGGGGGCCCGCACAAGCGGUGGAGCAUGUGGUUUAAUUCGAUGAUACGCGAGGAACCUUACCAGGGCUUAAAUGUAAGUUGCAUGGAUCAGAGAUGGUCCUUUCUUCGGACUACUUACAAGGUGCUGCAUGGUUGUCGUCAGCUCGUGCCGUGAGGUGUCAGGUUAAGUCCUAUAACGAGCGCAACCCCUAUCGUUAGUUGCCAUCAAGUUAAGUUGGGUACUCUAGCGAGACUGCCGGUGCAAACCGAGAGGAAGGUGGGGAUGACGUCAAAUCAUCACGGCCCUUACGUCCUGGGCCACACACGUGCUACAAUGGCCGGUACAAAGAGCAGCCACUACGCGAGUAGGAGCGAAUCUUCAAAGCCGGUCUCAGUUCGGAUCGCAGUCUGCAACUCGACUGCGUGAAGCUGGAAUCGCUAGUAAUCGCAUAUCAGCCAUGAUGCGGUGAAUACGUUCCCGGGCCUUGUACACACCGCCCGUCAAGCCAUGGAAGCUGGGGGUACCUGAAGUCGGUGACCGUAAGGAGCUGCCUAGGGUAAAACUGGUAACUGGGGCUAAGUCGUAACAAGGUAGCCGUACCGGAAGGUGCGGCUGGAACACCUCCUUUCU
Molecule: ribosomal RNA, 1103 nt
Filed under: uncultured Flavobacteriaceae bacterium
Lineage: Bacteria; Pseudomonadati; Bacteroidota; Flavobacteriia; Flavobacteriales; Flavobacteriaceae
Description: bacterial SSU rRNA
Rfam family: Bacterial small subunit ribosomal RNA
Source: RNAcentral